CCUACGGCGGGGCAGCAGUGGGGAAUAUUGGACAAUGGGCGAAAGCCUGAUCCAGCCAUGCCGCGUGUGUGAAGAAGGCCUUCGGGUUGUAAAGCACUUUCAGUGGGGAAGAAAGCCUUGGGGCUAAUACCCUCGAGGAAGGACAUCACCCACAGAAGAAGCACCGGCUAACUCCGUGCCAGCAGCCGCGGUAAUACGGAGGGUGCGAGCGUUAUUCGGAAUUACUGGGCGUAAAGCGCACGUAGGCGGUCUGAUAAGCCGGUUGUGAAAGCCCCGGGCUCAACCUGGGAACGGCAUCCGGAACUGUCAGGCUAGAGUGCAGGAGAGGAAGGUAGAAUUCCCGGUGUAGCGGUGAAAUGCGUAGAGAUCGGGAGGAAUACCAGUGGCGAAGGCGGCCUUCUGGACUGACACUGACGCUGAGGUGCGAAAGCGUGGGUAGCAAACAGGAUUAGAUACCCUGGUAGUC
Molecule: ribosomal RNA, 466 nt
Filed under: Vreelandella stevensii
Lineage: Bacteria; Pseudomonadati; Pseudomonadota; Gammaproteobacteria; Oceanospirillales; Halomonadaceae
Description: partial 16S ribosomal RNA
Rfam family: Bacterial small subunit ribosomal RNA
Source: RNAcentral